Molecule: long non-coding RNA, 766 nt
Organism: Acanthopagrus latus (yellowfin seabream)
Lineage: Eukaryota; Metazoa; Chordata; Actinopteri; Spariformes; Sparidae
Exons: 3
Source: RefSeq, a predicted model, not a curated record
AUCGUUGUUUGUGGACGCGUUGGAAGAUACAGAGAGAGGACCAGCGGCCAUCUUCAUCCAAAAAGGAGCGGUUUACAGCUUGUGUGCUCACCCGGCCUCGACGAAACGACAGCGGAGCAAUGAGACUGACAAACAGUGUUGUGGGAUCUGGACUUGGAAAGAGGUUAUCUCUUCAAAUACACAGCAGGCAUGCAGGUCACCGUGUAGAGCAGGAACAAAAGGAAGGAUCAACACCCAGGACUGCAUGAGAGGGGGGAUGUGAGCAGCUGUCAAAGGGUCAACACUCGUCUGGAAUAGACGCCUUUCACGGCGGAGAUUCUGACUUGUCCGAGCAGGAAAAGACCAGGUAACGUCCUCUCCACACAGGCCGAGAUUCUCAGCAGAUAAACCACACUUUGUGUUGUUGUGCGUGUGUGUGUUUUUGGCAAACGGAGGAAACGACAAAAUCGUUAUCAUCCCACCUUUCUGUGUGAGCGGCGUGCACAGGCAUUGUCUCGCAGAUGGAUUGGAAGAGAGGGACACGGGGAAGUCAAACUAAAAGCUUUCCAUGUGUGCCAGCGAGCGGGGAAAUUAGUUCCAUGCCACACACACACACACACACACUUCAUGCAUUUCUCCCAUCAUGCCAAUUCAUCCCAAAUGUAGAGGGAGAGGAAGAGAGGGAGGGAUGGAAAGACCUUGCACGGAGUGAAUGAUGUCAAUAACACACAAUGCCUGAGGGGAGAGUGCUGCGUAAUUGUUGAGUGUGUGUGUGUGUGUGUGUGUG